Non-coding RNA from Agelaius phoeniceus (red-winged blackbird), 782 nucleotides. The record is from RefSeq and is a predicted model, not a curated record. NCBI's taxonomy places the organism in Eukaryota, Metazoa, Chordata, Aves, Passeriformes, Icteridae.
AAUUCAUCAUUUCAACACGAGGAAAAUAGAAUUGACAAAUCAACAAAAUCCCUGAAAUUUAAGGUGUCUGUAUUUCUGAUGACCCAGCUUUUUGGUAAGAGGGAAACUGCUUUCACAGAGGAGCAUUGUGGUUCAGAACUUUUAACAAUGAAGCAGCACAGGAAGAGAGCUGCAUGGUCAACUCAUGUCACUUCUGUCACCCUGCUGAAUGCCACGUCACGCUGCCAAUGCUUGGAAGCACUGACUGCUGGCUUCUGCAAGACUGGAAGGAAAGGAAGACCUGGACACAUUGACUACAUCUCAACUAUUAAACAAAAUUAGUCAGAGAAUUUUCCUGGAGGCCAACUGGCAUGAAAUAGCUUGAAUCCACAGAGCUAAACUCUCUUGCCCUCAAAUCACGGUGGCCACAUCCAAAGUAUCUAUUGGAGAUGGUGCCUGACCUGGGUCAAUACCCAAGCUGUGCUUUGGCAUUGUCUGGAAGAGCAUUACAGGCUUGCACCAAAGCCAUGCCAGGGACCAGUUUGGUGGUAUGGAUGGUUUCAGGCCCAUGCCUUGCUGGUCUUGUUUAGUUUAUUUAAUGUCAGAGGGAAACCUCAGUAAUUCUGCCAGGAGUCAACAGGAAACCCCCUUCUGGCCUCAGCAACCAGAAGCUGCUGAGAAGUAUAAUCAUUAGUUGUUCACCUCCUUCACAUUUGGAUUCUUUUUCUCAUUUUAUUUUUUACCAAAUGAAGCCUGAAAAUAUUUGGAAUCUCAUCGAGUAAUAAAAUUGGGUUACUGUCUGC